UGGACCCGGACACGAUGCACGCGCGCC
This 27-nucleotide non-coding RNA is filed under the name Mus musculus (house mouse). The record is from RNAcentral. RNAcentral also lists the same sequence under 1 other name. Lineage: Eukaryota; Metazoa; Chordata; Mammalia; Rodentia; Muridae.